Molecule: ribosomal RNA, 448 nt
Filed under: uncultured bacterium
Lineage: Bacteria
Description: bacterial SSU rRNA
Rfam family: Bacterial small subunit ribosomal RNA
Source: RNAcentral
GACGAACGCUGGCGGCGCGCCUAACACAUGCAAGUCGAACGAGAGAUGAGGAGCUUGCUCUUCAAAUCGAGUGGCGAACGGGUGAGUAACGCGUGAGGAACCUGCCUCAAAGAGGGGGACAACAGUUGGAAACGACUGCUAAUACCGCAUAAGCCACGGCUCGGCAUCGAGCAGGGGGAAAAGGAGCAAUCCGCUUUGAGAUGGCCUCGCGUCCGAUUAGCUAGUUGGUGAGGUAAUGGCCCACCAAGGCGACGAUCGGUAGCCGGACUGAGAGGUUGAACGGCCACAUUGGGACUGAGACACGGCCCAGACUCCUACGGGAGGCAGCAGUGGGGAAUAUUGCACAAUGGGGGAAACCCUGAUGCAGCGACGCCGCGUGGAGGAAGAAGGUCUUCGGAUUGUAAACUCCUGUUGUUGAGGAAGAUAAUGACGGUACUCAACAAGGAAG